This 348-nucleotide ribosomal RNA is filed under the name Patella rustica. RNAcentral's name for it is "partial 16S ribosomal RNA". It matches the Rfam family "Archaeal large subunit ribosomal RNA", at positions 1908 to 2480 of the family's 2987-position model. The record is from RNAcentral. Lineage: Eukaryota; Metazoa; Mollusca; Gastropoda; Patellidae.
GGCUCUUUGUAAUAUAAAAAUAAAGAGUCCGGCCUGCUCAAUGAUGAUUUAUCAUUAAAUAGCUGCGGAAUCCUAACCGUGUGAAAGUAGCAUAAUCAUUUGCCUCUUAAUUGGUGGCUGGAAUGAAUGGUACGAUGAAAAUAGAGCUGUCUCUAAUAUGUUUUAUUGAAAUUACCUUUUAGGUGAAAAGGCCUAAAUAUAUCUAUAAGACAAGAAGACCCUAUCGAGCUUUAAGUAGACUAUAUAUAAUAUUUAGUUAGCUUUUGGUUGGGGCAACCAGGGGGCAGAUUAAAUCCCUCUUUUAUUAUGUCACUUACUAGUGAAGAUCCAGUUAUAUUGAUCAUGGGA